Molecule: ribosomal RNA, 254 nt
Filed under: uncultured bacterium
Lineage: Bacteria
Description: partial 16S ribosomal RNA
Rfam family: Bacterial small subunit ribosomal RNA
Source: RNAcentral
UACGGGGGGAGCAAGCGUUGUUCGGAUUUACUGGGCGUAAAGGGCGCGUAGGCGGUCGUGACAAGUCACUUGUGAAAUCUCCGGGCUUAACUCGGAACGGUCAAGUGAUACUGUCGGACUAGAGUACAGAAGGGGCAACUGGAAUUCUCGGUGUAGCGGUGAAAUGCGUAGAUAUCAGGAGGAACACCUAUAGCGAAGGCAGCUUGCUGGGACGUUACUGACGCUAAGGCGCGAAAGCGUGGGGAGCGAACAGG